This 468-nucleotide ribosomal RNA is filed under the name uncultured bacterium. RNAcentral describes it as "partial 16S ribosomal RNA". It matches the Rfam family "Bacterial small subunit ribosomal RNA", at positions 28 to 507 of the family's 1533-position model. The record is from RNAcentral.
GACGAACGCUGGCGGCGUGCUUAACACAUGCAAGUCGAACGGAAAGGCCCUGCUUUUGUGGGGUGCUCGAGUGGCGAACGGGUGAGUAACACGUGAGUAACCUGCCCUUGACUUUGGGAUAACUUCAGGAAACUGGGGCUAAUACCGGAUAGGAGCUCCUGCUGCAUGGUGGGGGUUGGAAAGUUUCGGCGGUUGGGGAUGGACUCGCGGCUUAUCAGCUUGUUGGUGGGGUAGUGGCUUACCAAGGCUUUGACGGGUAGCCGGCCUGAGAGGGUGACCGGCCACAAUGGGACUGAGAUACGGCCCAGACUCCUACGGGAGGCAACAGGGGGGAAUAUUGCACAAUGGGCCGAAGCCUGAUGCAGCAACGCCGCGGGCGGGAUGACGGCCUUCGGGGUGUAAACCGCUUUCGCCUGUGACGAAGCGUGAGUGACGGUAAUGGGUAAAGAAGCACCGGCUAACUACGUG